GGGGCUGUUUUGGUUUUGACGGUAAUGUAAAUUGGAGUGUAAGCAUGUCGAGCUUUGUGUUUUGGCUCGUAAAUCUCAAUUCUCAAAACAAUAAACGGCGAAAAUAAUUACGCGCUUGCUGCUUAAUCUCACUCAGUGAAUUAAACUUAAUCCUGCGGUCUAGGUACUACAGGACAAGCUGUCUCUCAAAGAGCGAUGUUUAACCGCGCUUGACAUAGAGGCAUCGUAAAUGUUAAACUAGCCUGAUUGGCGCUUCGAUGAUCAGGCGAAAAUAAAGAAGCUAAGGUAUGGUUCGGCUGCUCUUUGCCAGGUCACUCACAAAAAAUAACAAAGAGAUAAGCAUGUAGAAAACAUUUGGGUUUCUUAUUCGGACGCGGGUUCGAGUCCCGCCAGCUCCACUG
Molecule: transfer-messenger RNA, 401 nt
Filed under: Bacteroidales
Lineage: Bacteria; Pseudomonadati; Bacteroidota; Bacteroidia
Also listed under: 2 other names
Description: UBA12077 sp001768565 Standard tmRNA
Rfam family: transfer-messenger RNA
About the family: Bacterial tmRNA, also known as 10Sa RNA or SsrA, is named for its dual tRNA and mRNA-like properties.
Source: RNAcentral